GUGUCAUCCCCGGGGAGCCAUGAUGGCUGAGAGGGUGGUUAAAGUCCGCCGACCCGUUGAACCUGAACCGAUUAGCAUCGGCGGAGGGAGUGGGCGCGUUUAUGGC
RNAcentral lists this non-coding RNA (106 nucleotides) under Erythrobacter sp. Its description in RNAcentral is "TPP sequence". It matches the Rfam family "TPP riboswitch aptamer (THI element)". From Rfam's summary of the family: Vitamin B(1) in its active form thiamin pyrophosphate (TPP) is an essential coenzyme that is synthesised by coupling of pyrimidine and thiazole moieties in bacteria. The previously detected thiamin-regulatory element, thi box was extended, resulting in a new, highly conserved RNA secondary structure, the THI element, which is widely distributed in eubacteria and also occurs in some archaea. Lineage: Bacteria; Pseudomonadati; Pseudomonadota; Alphaproteobacteria; Sphingomonadales; Erythrobacteraceae. RNAcentral also lists the same sequence under 1 other name. The record is from RNAcentral.